Molecule: ribosomal RNA, 250 nt
Filed under: uncultured prokaryote
Description: partial 16S ribosomal RNA
Rfam family: Bacterial small subunit ribosomal RNA
Source: RNAcentral
UACGUAGGGGGCGAGCGUUGUCCGGAAUGACUGGGCGUAAAGGGCGUGUAGGCGGUUUUUUAAGUCUGGAGUGAAAGUCCUGCAUUCAAUGUGGGAAUUGCUUUGGAUACUGGAAGACUUGAGUGCGGGAGAGGUAAGUGGAAUUCCCAGUGUAGCGGUGAAAUGCGUAGAGACUGGGAGGAACACCAGUGGCGAAGGCGACUUACUGGGCCGUAACUUACGCUGAGGCGCGAAAGCGUGGGGAGCGAAC